Molecule: non-coding RNA, 1813 nt
Organism: Sesamum indicum (sesame)
Lineage: Eukaryota; Viridiplantae; Streptophyta; Magnoliopsida; Lamiales; Pedaliaceae
Source: RefSeq, a predicted model, not a curated record
GAAACAAAUGGUGGUGGCCUGUGCACGUGGUUAUUUGCAGAAGCACGUCAGGUGGGGUGGCGCAAGUUUAUGGGGACUCUUUCUCAGGCCUUAAGUUGAGCAACAACAGAAGAGGCUAUCAAAAAAUUGAUGUUAGCAAAUCUAACACAAAAGUGCUGAGUAUACAAUGAAGCUGAUGAGAGCAAUCCAGGAGAGUGUGGUUGUUAGGACUAACGGAGAGUGAAUAUCCAGAUUUCAGCAUUGAAGAGAAGUUAAAUACUUUUGUUGCGUUGAUUGAUCUACUCAGAGUUGGUUCCAGUAUCAAAAUGGAGGGCUAAAGAUACAACCCAGAUUCAGAGUCAGCCCUUGAAUUUCUUGCCAAAACACUGCCAAUGGGCUGUGGUGACAUUUGGCUCCAAAGGCUGCAGCGCAAAACACGGAAAAGAGGCAUGUUCUAUGUGCCGUGUCUUCCACUUGACGUUUUAGUUCCAACUCUAACCAUCAAAGUGGAAACAAGAAGCAUCAGAUGAACAUCACAAGGGCAAUGAGUAAUGUGAGACAAACCAAAAUCAUCAUAUGAGAUCUCUGCUACUGUAUAUAAUUUUCCAAAAUUCUGUCUGCGACAUUGACGAGGAGGAGGCUCCGGCAAAAGUUCUAUCAGCGCUCAUGAAAUAUGUUGGAAAUUGGAGAAUUUUCUGGAAGGAAGAUAAGGGAACAGUUUCUGCAGUUAAACUCUUGCAUCCAUUUGUGCAAAACCUGGAUAAGUAUUUGGUGUCCAUAUUAGCAGCAGUCAUGCCUUCUAAGAAAUGCCAAAAACAAAUGGUGGUGGCCUGUGCACGUGGUUAUUUGCAGAAGCACGUCAGGUGGGGUGGCGCAAGUUUAUGGGGACUCUUUCUCAGGCCUUAUGUUGAGCAACAACAGAAGAGGUGACCGAGUUUGGAUACUGUUGAUCUGUAUGUACAGUAAUUUUUUAUUAUUUUUUCUUUAUAUGUUUUAUAUUCAUUCUGCUUAGUAUGAGCUUAGCUUGUGGUUUGCAGACUAUCAAAAAAUUGAUGUUAGCAAAUCUAACACAAAAGUGCUGAGUAUACAAUGAAGCUGAUGAGAGCAAUUCAGGAGAGUGUGGUUGUUAGGACUAACGGAGAGUGAAUAUCCAGAUUUCAGCAUUGAAGAGAAGUUAAAUACUUUUGUUGCGUUGAUUGAUCUACUCAGAGUUGGUUCCAGUAUCAAAAUGGAGGGCUAAAGAUACAACCCAGAUUCAGAGUCGGCCCUUGAAUUUCUUGCCAAAACACGGCCAAUGGGCUGUGGUGACAUUAGGCUCCAAAGGCUGCAAUGCGAAACACGGAAACGAGGCAUGUUCUAUGUGCCGUGUCUUCCACUUGGCGUUUUAGUUCCAACUCUAACCUUCAAAGUGGAAACAAGAAGCAUCAGAUGAACAUCACAAGGGCAAUGAGUAAUGUCAGACAAACCAAAAUCAUCAUAUGAGAUCUCUGCUACUCUAUAUAAUUUUCCACAAUUCUAUCUGCGACAUUGACGAGGAGGAGGCUCCGGCAAAAGUUCUAUCAGCGCUCAUGAGAUAUGCUAGAAAUUGGAGAAUUUUCUGGAAGGAAGAAUAGGGAACAGUUUCUGCAGUUAAACUCUUGCAUCCAUUUGUGCAAAACCUGGAUAAGUAUUUGAUGUCCAUAUUAGCAGCAGUGAUGCCUUCUAAGAAAUGCCGGAAACAAAUGGUGGUGGCCUAUGCACGUGGUUAUUUGCAGAAGCUCGUUGGGUGAGCUGGCGCAAGUUUAUGGGGACUCUUUCUCAGGCCUUAAGUUGAGCAACAACAGAAGAGGCGAUC